GGGGAGGUUGGAAUGCAAUUGAGUUUUCUACAUAGAGCCUGGCCUACAUAUCCCCAAGAUUUCAGGAAAUCAGACUGCUUGUAGUUCGAAUCAAUCGAUAGAAAAGAUAGUCUUUUAUUUCAAACGAUCUUUGGCUCAAGAUGAGUGACAAGUUGAUCGAGUUGUGGAAAAGAGGCUUGUAACCUCUUAACCAUGAAUG
RNAcentral lists this long non-coding RNA (199 nucleotides) under Capsicum annuum. RNAcentral's name for it is "long non-coding RNA (CANN_LNC020356)". The record is from RNAcentral. Lineage: Eukaryota; Viridiplantae; Streptophyta; Magnoliopsida; Solanales; Solanaceae.